Molecule: long non-coding RNA, 1356 nt
Filed under: Androctonus crassicauda
Lineage: Eukaryota; Metazoa; Arthropoda; Arachnida; Scorpiones; Buthidae
Source: RNAcentral
AAUCGAUUCUAUUUUUUAUUUUUUUCAAAACUUUGUAAUAUUUGAAAUGACAAUAUCAUUAAUAAUAUAGCAUUUUAUAUUUUUCCAUUGAUUUUCUCUUUUUGGAUGAUAAUGCAUGAUUUAAUCUAGAUCUGUCGAGUGAUAAAAUGAUUGUUUUCAAACAGAAAUAGUUAGGUUUGAUUCUCAGAAUCUAUUUCUCAGAUAUUUUUUCAUGAAAAGGAUAUUUUUUCUCGCUCAAAUGAUCAGGAAUUUGAAAGCCCAAUCUUUCAAAUUCCUGAUCUUUGAGCGAGUAAUGUUUUGGAUUUUUAAUCGACUGGAUUGGCCUCAUGAAAAUGCUCCGGUUUUCUAUCCAGAAAAUUCAAAUUUGAUUCUUUGAAUAAUUUACAUAGGGAGGCCGAAUCCCGUCUGUCGAUUUUUAUUCUUUAUAGUCUGGAUGAUCAUUCUACGAGUGUAGGUGGCUUAUGUCUGAAUUCCCCUGCUGCUUAACAAUCAAUAGAUUGAGAAUUGGCACCAUUCAUUGGAAAAAAUCAUUCAGAUUUUUCAUCCAGAGGACCCGAUUCCAUUUCGGGUACUAUCGUUUGGAAAAGUUAUUUGGAGUUUCAGGCCCGAUCCAUCGAUUUCUAUCUUCUACAAUCCGAUUGACUUCUCCACAGGGAUAGAUAGCCUGCGGCAAAUAUACCCACCUGCUACUUAGUGUUCAAUAGAUUGAAACGUGGCCUCAUCUAUUGCUGAAAAAUAUCUCUGAUGAAUUAUUUGCAUCCUAUAAAAUUUUGUGAUUUAAUCAUUUAACCUUGUACAAUAAAAUCAGUGGAAUUCUACAAUAGUAGGCACCAAACCCAUGGUGAAAUUAAGAAAUGAAUAUCUUCUAUCAAUUAUAUCCUAUUAGAUAUUAAGCGGAGAGGCUCCUCCAAAGUCACCAUGGACUGCCUACAUCCUAAAUAAGAUAGCUCUCAGACGAAGAAUGGAGUUCUCUUAGCCAAUAGGAAUAGAGUGAUGAAGAAUUCAUUACGCUAUUCCUGUUGGCAUAAGAGGACUAAAGGAUGCAUUGUCUUUUUCGCAAGUAAAUAUGACAUAUUUCUGGUAGGAUCGGUUUUUCUUCAGUCUUUUCUAUCUUUCUUUCAUUCUUCAAAGAGUUACACCACAGAAUAUUCAGUAUAUAUUCCAAUUACUGAUUACAUUCUCUCUUUCAAUAAAGUUUAGAUGAAGACUGAGGUUCAACGAACUGAACACGGAUUUCUCCGAAAAAUCUGGAGAUGUAAGAUCAAGAGCAGUGAUUCUCAAACACUGUGCCGCGGAACACCAGUGUGAGGCCAAACCUUUGGUGGUGUGCUGUGAAAAAUUAAGAAUGAACUGUAU